This 3088-nucleotide long non-coding RNA is filed under the name Homo sapiens (human). Its description in RNAcentral is "non-protein coding lnc-SLC2A10-9:1". The record is from RNAcentral. Lineage: Eukaryota; Metazoa; Chordata; Mammalia; Primates; Hominidae.
CAACUUUUAAAAUUCCAUUUCAUACUGGGUGAGUUGUAGUUUUUGAGGAAUUGGCCUGUUUAAUUUAAGCUGUCAAAUUUAUGUGGGUAGAGUUGUUUGUAGUAUUCCCCUACUAUCCUUCUGAUGUACACAGAGCCUGUAGUGAUAUCCCAUUUCAUCCUUGAUGUUUCAUUCCGUUUCACCCUCUUUCUUUUCUCUCCUUAUUACUGGUUGUGGGAAUGGGAAUUCCAGCUUCUCCCUAGGCCUCUACUAAGACCUCCCUGACUUGGGGGACAGUUGGGUGGGGCGGCUCAUGACUGCUCCCCAAGGGGCCUCCACUGACACAAGGGGUGGUGGCCUCAUUACCACUAGUUGGUGGUGAAAGUCCUGAUCCCCCUCUGGGUUUUCUGGUACACUGCCCCAGCAGAGCAGAGAGGGGCACCUCAUGACUGCUGGAUGGGAGUGGAAGUCCAGACUCCCCCACUGUCUUCACUGAUAUUGCAGGGAGCCCAUGGGGAGAGUUGGGGUGCCUCUUUACAGCCUGGUGUGGGUGGAAUUCUAGGAUCUCCACCUCUGCCUUUGCUUGUGUGAGUGUGGGUAGGGCCACAGUCUUUCUGUGGUGUUCGGCUGGAGUAGAGAGGUUAUUGUCUCAAGGUUUUCUGUCUCGUAAGGCUGCCCAUUUUCUGCUUUCUGUUUUGUUUUUGCUUUGUAUAGAGGGAGUAGGCUUUUGAUGGGGCUUUUCCCCCCAUCUCAAACACUAGAAUUUCCAGGUCGCGAGCUUCUUCAGUUCUAAGUCUGGGAUAUAUGAGGCAAAAUGAAAGCCAGGAGAAUGCACUAUGCGGUCCCAAGUUUCCUAGCUGGUCUGCCUUCUUUUCUCAACUUUUCAGAAUAUUUUUAUACUUGCUUUACAUACAAACUAAAUCUACUGAAAAAAUACAAUAAUCAAAAUAAAUGGAUGGGCUCAAUAGCCAAUAGAGGAGACAGAGGAAAAAAAAAUCACUGCACUGACAACUAUAACUAGAGAAAUCACCCAGACUGAAAAACAGAGAGAAAAUAAAUGGAAAAAAAUGAAUGGAGCUUCAGGGACCUGUGAGACUAUCACAGGGUCCAGUGUUUGUGUCAUCGAACUUGCAGAAGGAGAAGAGAAAGAAGACAAGGCUGAAAAGGUAUUCAAAGAAAUAAUGGCUGAAAGUUUCCCAAAUGUUCAGAGUUUUUAGUUGUCCUUACUGGGAGGAAUAGGGAGAAGCGUGUCUGCUCUAUCUUCCUGAAAGCUAAAGAACCAAGCACUGCUGGAUGGGGACCCAGGGUCUCCAAGCUGAGAAGAACACUGAUAAGGCAUGCACGGAAGCAGUCCUGGGAGGACUCUGCCACAGGCACAAACACCACUGGACACCCAAAGUCAUACUGCUGGGCGCUGGAGUCCAUUGCUUCUUCUGAGAAGAAUCGCUAACUUUUCUCGGGUCUUUGUACCUUUAGCCCCUGAUUCAAAGUCUUAGGGAGGCUCACCUAAGUGGCCAGUCGCAGGGAGUGUGCCCAGCCCUGCCUGUCAGCAGGUGUGGAAAGGAAAUGUACAGCAUUCUGCAGCAUCCCUGGUGGAAGCUGGAGCCUGUCUUCCAUUAAGCCGUACUCACUGUGGGAUUCCUCAAUUUGUCCAAUUAGGAGAAAAUGGAUGCUCAGAGAAGUGAAGCCAGUCAUCCAACAUUAACAGCACUCAGCCCCAUGAAAUGAUCUUAAUGACUCCACAAGAAAUAAAUGCUGAAGAAAAAUGGACUCCAGCCUCCUAGGCCCAGGAUUUCUUGAUGUUUCUUUGGUGUUUGGGAGGACACUGUAUUUCUGCAGCUUCAGGAUGGCUUAUGUACUCUCUGGCCUGUAUUUGUUCCUAGCACCCCUGGUUUGAGUUUACCAGAAGCCAGUGUGAGAUUCAGGGGCCAAUGUGUACUAUCAGCGACAAAUAUUGGUUAUCAGGUGAGAGGUCCUGUCUAAAGUGAAGCUGUGCUUGGAGCUCAGAUACUGACUCCAUGUGAAUGCAAUGGAUCUUGUGUGUUAGGAGGACAAGACUCCUGGAAUAGAAAUUCAGUGAGACCUCACACCAGAGCUCUAGGCAGGGGUGGAAAAGCCCCAGGCAAGGAGCUGGGCUAUAAACAAUUCUUGAUCCUUCUGUUCAGAGUGUGCAAAAUUUGCAUGGUGUUACCCCAUGCAGAGACAACUUGGGUUGUGUGCCAAUGGACGUUUCAGGGCACUUCUCAAAGGAGGGAGCUAAGCUGAGGGGCUUGGCAGGGGGCAGACUCCACAAUAAAAGGCUUAUUGGAUGUCUGUGAGGGUACACUCAAGACAGGAGAGAGUCAGCAGGCCCAGCUGAGAAAAUUCAAUCUCAACCUUCUCUAAAGACAUUCUCUGAAGACACAUGCUUUAUUUUCCACUCAUUCUUUCCUGAUCUGAGCUGGCCCUACACUCAUAUUAUAUCCAUCAUUGUCUUUGGCUUCUAAGGAUGUGCUGAUUGCCCUAUAGAUUGACAUACAAAGUUCAGAACGAUAAAAAUGGAAAGGCAUUAUAGUAUUAUCUAAAUAUGCCUCCUCAAUUUAAAGAUUAAUAAAACUGGGCUAGACUAGGUCACACAGUUGGUUAGAGGCAAUGUCAAGAUUAGAAGUUGCCCCAUUCUCAGUGUGCUGUUCAUCAUUCCAAAUAAAAUCAAAAUAAGAUAUCUUUAAAGGUUUCUCACUAGAAAUGAUGAUGAAGAGAGCACCAUCAAUAAAAGAGACAGACGUGCCUGAAAGCUCCUUCCCUGCCCUGCCCUUUCCAGUUUCCUGUGGAUUCUCAAGACCAUGAAAGGUUAGAAAUAUUAGCUGCAGAGAGAAAAGAAACAUAACAUGAACAUAUUUUCCUAUCAGUGGAUUUUCCCCUACAAGAUCAUUUUUGAAGAAGCUAAUGGUUAGGAGCACGGCCUCUGGGGCCAGACUUCCUAGACUCAAAUCCUGGCUCCAUGUCUUACUAGGUAUAUGACCUUGGGCAAAUUAACCUCUGUGCUUUGGUCUACCCAUCUGUAAAACAGGGAUAACAGUAUCUACUUCAUAGGUUGUUAUGAGGAUUAAAUAACCGUUUCGUCUUAUCU